CAUCAGUUUCCGACAUAACUGAGCCUGAGCGAGGACGAGGCUCUGAACUCUGAUGAAAGAAUGCUGGCUCACUUGGCUAAUGGUGUAAUGGUGUAUUUCGACAUUGUCAUUAUGAGGUAACCAGCUUAUGAUUUUCACUUUCACGGCCAAAUGACCCAAAUCCACUGAUGACGUGGACCUGAAACAGCUGUCCAUUUUGCCUAAAUGUCGUCUGAGGCUACCUGUUUGGGCUUUAAGUUUCAUCUCAACCAGAAACACUGCAAAAACAGAAACGGUCGUCAACGUAGAGAAAGAAUCUGAACCUAAAGUAGAGCCAGAAGAACCAUCUACUACCGGUAUACCAAAAACCAACGGAACUUACUACAUACGUUCCAAGACAUUAUUGUGGCUUUCCAUUGUUGACUUACGAAUAAUGGUUCUGGCGGAGCCAUCAAGGAAGAAAGCAGUGGUACUGGUACCUCCACCAAAUUACAAUGUUCUUUACAAACCGACGUAAUUUUCAAGUUUGGCAUUGUACGGCUGGCACCAGAUGUAUGUAAAUCAGUACAUGAGCAAUCCACUUGUGGAAAUUAAGAACCAGGCAUCGGGGGGAGAGAUACUCUAAAUGUAACUUGUCGCUCAAGUUCUCCGUUACCGAACAUUUAUCACCUCCAUCAUAUCAAAGGAUUAAAGCAUCAGGUGAUGAAAUUCGUCUUUACGGUUAAUUCGACCGUAUCACGAAUUGAAGCAUCAAUCCCGAUGUCGUUCAAGAUUUCCAUUGUGACCGCAAGAAUAACUCACCGGCUUGGAUAUACUCAUUGGCCAGACCUCUGUUCAAGAAUGUCACGUUUUCCCGCAUAGACGGCCUCUAAUCUUCAGCGAAUUCGCUUUGUAAGGUCGAACCCUCUGUGCAUGUUCCCCUGAGAAGAAAUGGCGACCAAAGCCGGCAACAAGGUAUGGAUUGAAAAAAAGGGUCAGGGAAGUCGUCCCAUCUCCUCCUUGAUUACGUAAACGCAAGAAAGUGGAAGCGCACAAAUCGUCGCAACCGACAGUCACAUAAGAAUGAAGAUGACUUGCAACUUUAGGGUGCUAAUAACUAAGCAUUACCGCAAAGAGGUUCGAAAAAACUGCUGCUACCACCUACCUACCUACCACCUAAUAUUUUUCGACUUAAGUGCACAUUAGAGACUUGGGAUCUGGAGGUAAACAUCUGGAGUAAAAAUAAGAUUGAAAUGUUGAGAAAAUCUGGUCAAUUGAUCCAUUCACAGUCCAUGCAUCAAAUUGUCCUAGUAAACUGAAGUCCUGUUGGAUUUGGUCAUGGUGGCAUUUUACCACGCCCGCGAGAAACAGUCAAACCUCGUCCAGUGACCAAAAUCAGCGCCAAGACGAGAACCGAUUGUUGCCCCUAUCCAUCUGCACACCUUCACGAAGACCUCAAAGCUCUGUCCAUCAAUCCGCCUACACAGCCUCUGUACGGCACGCUGGGGAAAAAGAAGAAACCGCCUCCUGUCCCGCCAAACGUGCCAGCAGCAGGCAGCAGCAGCUCCCCCUUGGCGGAGAGCGAGGCGGCCUAGCCCAUUUACGGACGGAGUGCCAAGUUUUGGCACUCCAAGUCCAAGCGAAAGCAUUAACACUUCAGAUACUGAACCGGGAAGCCCGGCCAUGGAAUUCCGUCAACGCCGGAAUGGAUCCGAUGCCAGUUGCAAGUCGACGUCCAGCACGGAAUGGUAUUCAAUGCCGUUUGCCAACGACAACGCCAGUACCAUCAAACAGCGAAGUGCGCGGGCUCACCCGGCCCUUGCGGCACUGACUUACUCUUCUUCCUCUGUCGCCCGUUCUGUCUCACUCGGCCGACGGGCGCCAUCCACCAGCAACGCCAACACCAAAAUAAGUCUCGGUCAGCAUUGCACCCCUGUCUCUUAAGAACUAGCGACCUGUUGAACGACAUUGGCAACAUGCUAGCUGACUUGACGGAUGAAUUGGGCUCUGUGUUGGAAGAGGAAAGCAGUAACCAGCCCAUAAGGCAGAAAUCCUAAAUGGGGGGUCGCAAAAAACGUUGUUUAUGUAUAUCUUAACCUGGAUUUUUAAACGUUUGCUGAUCCCCUAGACCCCUCUCUUCCCUUGGAAUAAGAAAAACGUUCCGGGCUCCACUUAUUGUUUAAUGCCAGCCAGCUGCGUCAAGGUGCCUAGUUCACAAGCAUAUCUCGUAAAGCAAGCAUGAUCCAUCUGGAUUGAUGAAAUAGUUUAUGAACAAGUGUUGGAUAUUCCUAUAUUCUUAUUUCUCCCUUUUUCUUCUUCAAUUUAACACUGUUCCAUCUCGAUGGAAAUGAUUUCUUUUACGUUACGUGACGAUUUUAACUGUUGGGAUAUUUUUUUUUUUUUAAUUCACCGUCCUUUUGUUAUAUGUUGCCCGCCCAGCCAAGUGAUGUACCUUGUACCUAUAUAAUAUUGUAUGGAAUACAUGUACACGUUUAUCGUA
RNA transcript from Daphnia pulex (common water flea), 2458 nucleotides. RefSeq lists it as uncharacterized. NCBI's taxonomy places the organism in Eukaryota, Metazoa, Arthropoda, Branchiopoda, Diplostraca, Daphniidae. The record is from RefSeq and is a predicted model, not a curated record. The transcript has 6 exons.